This 572-nucleotide ribosomal RNA is filed under the name uncultured bacterium. RNAcentral's name for it is "partial 16S ribosomal RNA". It matches the Rfam family "Bacterial small subunit ribosomal RNA", at positions 355 to 920 of the family's 1533-position model. The record is from RNAcentral.
UGGGGAAUUUUGGACAAUGGGCGAAAGCCUGAUCCAGCAAUGCCGCGUGUGUGAAGAAGGCCUUCGGGUUGUAAAGCACUUUUGUCCGGAAAGAAAUCCUUGGCUCUAAUACAGUCGGGGGAUGACGGUACCGGAAGAAUAAGCACCGGCUAACUACGUGCCAGCAGCCGCGGUAAUACGUAGGGUGCAAGCGUUAAUCGGAAUUACUGGGCGUAAAGCGUGCGCAGGCGGUUUGCUAAGACCGAUGUGAAAUCCCCGGGCUCAACCUGGGAACUGCAUUGGUGACUGGCAGGCUAGAGUAUGGCAGAGGGGGGUAGAAUUCCACGUGUAGCAGUGAAAUGCGUAGAGAUGUGGAGGAAUACCGAUGGCGAAGGCAGCCCCCUGGGCCAAUACUGACGCUCAUGCACGAAAGCGUGGGGAGCAAACAGGAUUAGAUACCCUGGUAGUCCACGCCCUGAACGAUGUCAACUAGUUGUUGGGGAUUCAUUUCCUUAGUAACGUAGCUAACGCGUGAAGUUGACCGCCUGGGGAGUACGGUCGCAAGAUUAAAACUCAAAGGAAUUGACGGGGUC